RNAcentral lists this small RNA (28 nucleotides) under Bombyx mori (domestic silkworm). RNAcentral's name for it is "ovarian small RNA-20340". The record is from RNAcentral. Lineage: Eukaryota; Metazoa; Arthropoda; Insecta; Lepidoptera; Bombycidae.
UACAGUUUAUAAAUUAAACCGUUGUGCC